AAUAUGCCUUCAACUAAGCCAACCACUCUGAUGAACAGUUCCAUCUAUAAUAAGUAUUUUUUAACUCUUCGGGUUCUACAAGCAAGGAAAUUAAGUUUUCGUUUUCCUUCCAACAUUUAUAUGCUAAUAUGUGUUGAGCAAUCUAAAAGCAAUAGAAUUGCCCUUCAGAAAUUUUCCAUCUAAUCAUGAAUCGGCGUGAAGAAUUAC
Molecule: unclassified non-coding RNA, 207 nt
Filed under: Hevea brasiliensis (rubber tree)
Lineage: Eukaryota; Viridiplantae; Streptophyta; Magnoliopsida; Malpighiales; Euphorbiaceae
Source: RNAcentral